RNAcentral lists this unclassified non-coding RNA (337 nucleotides) under soil metagenome. RNAcentral describes it as "partial contains 5.8S ribosomal RNA, internal transcribed spacer 2, and large subunit ribosomal RNA". The stretch from base 1 to 120 matches the Rfam family "5.8S ribosomal RNA", at positions 35 to 154 of the family's 154-position model. The record is from RNAcentral.
GAUGAAGAACGUAGUGAAAUGCGAUAAGUAAUGUGAAUUGCAGAAUUCAGUGAAUCAUCGAAUCUUUGAACGCACAUUGCGCCCGCCAGUAUUCUGGCGGGCAUGCCUGUUCGAGCGUCAUUUCAACCAUCAAGCCCCCCGGCUUGUGUUGGGGACCUGCGGCUGCCGCAGGCCCUGAAAAGCAGUGGCGGGCUCGCUGUCACACCGAGCGUAGUAGAUCUCAUCUCGCUCAGGGCGUGCUGCGGGUUCCGGCCGUUAAACCACCUUCAUAACCCAAGGUUGACCUCGGAUCAGGUAGGAAGACCCGCUGAACUUAAGCAUAUCAAUAAGCGGAGGA